GGACCCCAAUGAUGCCAGCACUAGGCUCUGACUCUGUUGAAGACAGACAUGGUGCCCCCUGGAUCUUGACUCCCAGGGGUCUGAGGGGCCC
RNAcentral lists this small nucleolar RNA (91 nucleotides) under Notamacropus eugenii (tammar wallaby). The record is from RNAcentral. Lineage: Eukaryota; Metazoa; Chordata; Mammalia; Diprotodontia; Macropodidae.